GAGGAAGGUGGGGAUGACGUCAAGUCCUCAUGGCCCUUAUGUCGUGGGAUACACACGUGCUACAAUGGCGGUGACAGUGGGAAGCCAGGCAGAGAUGCCGAGCUGAUCCUCAAAAGCCGUCUCAGUUCGGAUUGCACUCUGCAACUCGGGUGCAUGAAGGUGGAAUCGCUAGUAAUCGUGGAUCAGCAUGCCACGGUGAAUACGUUCCCGGGCCUUGUACACACCGCCCGUCACACCAUGGGAUUUGGGAUUGACCUUAAGUUGGUGCGCUAACCGCAAGGAGGCAGCCAACCACGGUCGGGUUAGAGACUGGGGUGAAGUCGUAACAAGGUAGCCGUAA
RNAcentral lists this ribosomal RNA (340 nucleotides) under uncultured bacterium. Its description in RNAcentral is "bacterial SSU rRNA". It matches the Rfam family "Bacterial small subunit ribosomal RNA", at positions 1166 to 1505 of the family's 1533-position model. The record is from RNAcentral.